RNAcentral lists this ribosomal RNA (154 nucleotides) under Conringia orientalis. RNAcentral describes it as "5.8S ribosomal RNA". It matches the Rfam family "5.8S ribosomal RNA". Rfam says of the family: 5.8S ribosomal RNA (5.8S rRNA) is a component of the large subunit of the eukaryotic ribosome. It is transcribed by RNA polymerase I as part of the 45S precursor that also contains 18S and 28S rRNA. Lineage: Eukaryota; Viridiplantae; Streptophyta; Magnoliopsida; Brassicales; Brassicaceae. The record is from RNAcentral.
AAACGACUCUCGGCAACGGAUAUCUCGGCUCUCGCAUCGAUGAAGAACGUAGCGAAAUGCGAUACUUGGUGUGAAUUGCAGAAUCCCGUGAACCAUCGAGUCUUUGAACGCAAGUUGCGCCCCAAGCCUUCGGGCCGAGGGCACGUCUGCCUGG